UGUGUGCUGUCCCCACAGGCC
This 21-nucleotide non-coding RNA is filed under the name Rattus norvegicus (Norway rat). Lineage: Eukaryota; Metazoa; Chordata; Mammalia; Rodentia; Muridae. The record is from RNAcentral.